RNAcentral lists this ribosomal RNA (784 nucleotides) under Staphylococcus sp. MJ518. RNAcentral describes it as "bacterial SSU rRNA". It matches the Rfam family "Bacterial small subunit ribosomal RNA", at positions 61 to 825 of the family's 1533-position model. Lineage: Bacteria; Bacillati; Bacillota; Bacilli; Caryophanales; Staphylococcaceae. The record is from RNAcentral.
GUCGAGCGAACAGAUAAGGAGCUUGCUCCUUUGACGUUAGCGGCGGACGGGUGAGUAACACGUGGGUAACCUACCUAUAAGACUGGGAUAACUUCGGGAAACCGGAGCUAAUACCGGAUAACAUUUGGAACCGCAUGGUUCUAAAGUGAAAGAUGGUUUUGCUAUCACUUAUAGAUGGACCCGCGCCGUAUUAGCUAGUUGGUAAGGUAACGGCUUACCAAGGCGACGAUACGUAGCCGACCUGAGAGGGUGAUCGGCCACACUGGAACUGAGACACGGUCCAGACUCCUACGGGAGGCAGCAGUAGGGAAUCUUCCGCAAUGGGCGAAAGCCUGACGGAGCAACGCCGCGUGAGUGAUGAAGGGUUUCGGCUCGUAAAACUCUGUUAUUAGGGAAGAACAAAUGUGUAAGUAACUGUGCACGUCUUGACGGUACCUAAUCAGAAAGCCACGGCUAACUACGUGCCAGCAGCCGCGGUAAUACGUAGGUGGCAAGCGUUAUCCGGAAUUAUUGGGCGUAAAGCGCGCGUAGGCGGUUUCUUAAGUCUGAUGUGAAAGCCCACGGCUCAACCGUGGAGGGUCAUUGGAAACUGGGAAACUUGAGUGCAGAAGAGGAAAGUGGAAUUCCAUGUGUAGCGGUGAAAUGCGCAGAGAUAUGGAGGAACACCAGUGGCGAAGGCGACAUUUCUGGUCUGUAACUGACGCUGAUGCUGCGAAAGCGUGGGGAUCAAACAGGAUUAGAUACCCUGGUAGUCCACGCCGUAAACGAUGAGUGCUAAGUGUUA